Long non-coding RNA from Carassius carassius (crucian carp), 483 nucleotides. RefSeq lists it as uncharacterized. Lineage: Eukaryota; Metazoa; Chordata; Actinopteri; Cypriniformes; Cyprinidae. The transcript is spliced from 5 exons. The record is from RefSeq and is a predicted model, not a curated record.
UGUUUAAUUAAAUGAACACAGCUGCUUACUGGGGUGAUUAAACUCUACCUGUCACGUGACGUGCCAUAGACCUGGGAUCCGUUUUAUAUUCAUUUCAGGUUCAAAGAUCUGAAAAGACGUAAAGGAAGCAGUCACCCCAGUCGUGUUUGUGGAGAGGUAUUCCUUCAGAAAUGGAGAAGACAGAAAGCUGCAGAGGCAGGAUUGUUUGCAGAUAAUGCUGUUCUUCUUUUUCAGAAGUUUUUGGUGAGCCAACCCUCACACACCUUCCUAAAAACUAAAAGAGCUAUUACUGAGUCUCAGCGAAUCUUGCCAUGAUCAGCUCUUCCCAGAUGAGAAGGAAGACCAAGGAAAUGAUUUGCCCAGGAUGAGGAAUGAAAACGGCCAUCUUGUGCUCAAACAAACAGAAGUCCACUGAUGAUCUCAUCAGCCAAAUGAGGGGUUUUGACCAAGUGAUGCCCUUGAAAGGAGUGAAAGAAGAGGAUG